This 513-nucleotide ribosomal RNA is filed under the name Triticum aestivum (bread wheat). RNAcentral describes it as "partial small subunit ribosomal RNA". Lineage: Eukaryota; Viridiplantae; Streptophyta; Magnoliopsida; Poales; Poaceae. The record is from RNAcentral.
AUGCUGCCGGCCGGCGUCAAGUUCGAUCCCAUAGAUCAGGAGCUGAUCGAGCACCUUGAGGCCAAAGUGAGUGUUGACAGUGCGAGGUCUCACCCUCUCAUCGAUUUGUUCAUACCAACCAUCGACAACGAGCACGGCAUAUGCUACACCCAACCUGAGAAACUUCCAGGUAUCACACUGAGUGGCCUAAGGAAGCAUUUCUUCCAGCGCAAUUCCAGGGCAUUCAGAAGGGGCACGUGGACGCAUUGCAAGAUACAGUCGAAGUGCGGCAUGCACGCGAUGUGGCACAAGACUGGCAAUACCUUGCCAGUGAUGGUCAACGGCCGGCAGAUGGGCAUCAAAAAGGUUCUGGUGCUGCACACCAACAAGAACUUUGACCACCAAAGGACCAAUUGGGUGAUGCACCAGUACCACCUCGGGGACCUAGAGCAAGAGAAGGAGCGGGGGCUGGUCCUCUGCAAGAUUUUCUACCAGACAAACACUAGGGUCAGGAGUAAAAAGAUUAUAAGUUAG